AGAAUCAACGCUGGCGGCGUGCCUAACACAUGCAAGUCGAACGAGAAAGUGGAGCAAUCCAUGAGUAAAGUGGCGCACGGGUGAGUAACACGUGACUAACCUACCCUUGAGUGGGGGAUAACCUAGAGAAAUCUGGGCUAAUACCGCAUAAUACCUUCGGGUCAAAGGAGCAAUUCGCUUAAGGAGGGGGUCGCGGCCGAUUAGUUAGUUGGCGGGGUAAUGGCCCACCAAGACUAUGAUCGGUAUCCGGCCUGAGAGGGCGCACGGACACACUGGAACUGAAACACGGUCCAGACUCCUACGGGAGGCAGCAGUGGGGAAUUUGCGCAAUGGGGGAAACCCUGACGCAGCAACGCCGCGUGGAGGAUGAAGUCCCUUGGGACGUAAACUCCUUUCGAUCGGGACAUUAUGACGGUACCGGAAGAAGAACGCCCCGGCUAACUUCGCGCCAGCAGCCGC
RNAcentral lists this ribosomal RNA (459 nucleotides) under uncultured bacterium. Its description in RNAcentral is "SSU rRNA". It matches the Rfam family "Bacterial small subunit ribosomal RNA", at positions 26 to 518 of the family's 1533-position model. The record is from RNAcentral.